UGGGGGAUAUUGCACAAUGGGCGAAAGCCUGAUGCAGCGACGCCGCGUGGGGGAUGAAGGCCUUCGGGUUGUAAACUUCUUUUGCUCUGAACAAGGCAUGCCUUUGGGGUGUGUUGAGUGUAGGGGUUGAUUAGCGCCGGCUAACUACGUGCCAGCAGCCGCGGUAAUACGUAGGGCGCGAGCGUUGUCCGGAAUUAUUGGGCGUAAAGGGCUUGUAGGUGGCUGGUUGCGUCUGUCGUGAAAGCUCAUGGCUUAACUGUGGGUUUGCGGUGGGUACGGGCUGGCUUGAGUGCAGUAGGGGAGGCUGGAAUUCCUGGUGUAGAGGUGGAAUGCGCAGAUAUCAGGAGGAAUACCGGUGGCGAAGGCGGGUCUCUGGGCUGUUACUGACGCUGAGGAGCGAAAGCGUGGGGAGCGAACAGG
This 420-nucleotide ribosomal RNA is filed under the name Fusobacteriota bacterium. RNAcentral's name for it is "Fusobacteria bacterium partial 16S ribosomal RNA". It matches the Rfam family "Bacterial small subunit ribosomal RNA", at positions 355 to 776 of the family's 1533-position model. The record is from RNAcentral. Lineage: Bacteria; Fusobacteriati; Fusobacteriota.